Small nucleolar RNA from Nematolebias whitei (Rio pearlfish), 130 nucleotides. RefSeq annotates it as small nucleolar RNA SNORA44. Lineage: Eukaryota; Metazoa; Chordata; Actinopteri; Cyprinodontiformes; Rivulidae. The record is from RefSeq and is a predicted model, not a curated record. The transcript has a single exon.
CAGCAUGUUAUCCUAAGGAUCAAAGCUUGUUGUAGCUUCUGGUUCUCCAAGUGCAUGCAAGAUGAUUGGGUGGUCUUUGACUGCUGAGGCCCCUCUGUGCCAUCAGCAGCCACUCAGCUGCCCUACAGUU